AGAACGAACGCUGGCGGCAUGCCUAAUACAUGCAAGUCGAACGAACUCUUCGGAGUUAGUGGCGCACGGGUGCGUAACGCGUGGGAAUCUGCCCUUGGGUUCGGAAUAACAGUUGGAAACGACUGCUAAUACCGGAUGAUGACGAAAGUCCAAAGAUUUAUCGCCCAGGGAUGAGCCCGCGUAGGAUUAGCUAGUUGGUGAGGUAAAGGCUCACCAAGGCGACGAUCCUUAGCUGGUCUGAGAGGAUGAUCAGCCACACUGGGACUGAGACACGGCCCAGACUCCUACGGGAGGCAGCAGUAGGGAAUAUUGGACAAUGGGCGAAAGCCUGAUCCAGCAAUGCCGCGUGAGUGAUGAAGGCCUUAGGUUGUAAAGCUCUUUACCCGAGAUGAUAAUGACAGUAUCGGAGAAUAAGACCCGGCUAACUCCGCGCCGAGCAGCCGC
This 444-nucleotide ribosomal RNA is filed under the name uncultured soil bacterium. Its description in RNAcentral is "bacterial SSU rRNA". It matches the Rfam family "Bacterial small subunit ribosomal RNA", at positions 26 to 518 of the family's 1533-position model. The record is from RNAcentral.